GAAGAAGGCCUGGCUAGAUAACAGGUCAAGCCUGAUGGCAGCAGGGAAGAAGAAGGCCUGACUAGAUAACAGGUCAAGCCUGAUGGCAGCAGGGAAGAAGGCCUGGCUAGAUAACAGGUCAAGCCUGAUGGCAGCAGGGAAGAAGAAGGCCUGGCUAGAUAACAGGUCAAGCCUGAUGGCAGCAGGGAAGAAGGCCUGGCUAGAUAACAGGUCAAGCCUGAAGGCAGCAGGGAAGAAGGCCUGGCUAGAUAACAGGUCAAGCCUGAAGGCAGCAGGGAAGAAGAAGGCCUGGCUAGAUAACAGGUCAAGCCUGAUGGCAGCAGGGAAGAAGGCCUGGCUAGAUAACAGGUCAAGCCUGAUGGCAGCAGGGAAGAAGAAGGCCUGGCUAGAUAACAGGUCAAGCCUGAUGGCAGCAGGGAAGAAGAAGGCCUGGCUAGAUAACAGGUCAAGCCUGAAGGCAGCAGGGAAGAAGGCCUGGCUAGAUAACAGGUCAAGCCUGAAGGCAGCAGGGAAGAAGAAGGCCUGGCUAGAUAACAGGUCAAGCCUGAUGGCAGCAGG
Molecule: long non-coding RNA, 558 nt
Filed under: Salmo salar (Atlantic salmon)
Lineage: Eukaryota; Metazoa; Chordata; Actinopteri; Salmoniformes; Salmonidae
Description: lncRNA (ENSSSAG00000098307.1)
Source: RNAcentral